Molecule: unclassified non-coding RNA, 359 nt
Filed under: soil metagenome
Description: partial contains 5.8S ribosomal RNA, internal transcribed spacer 2, and large subunit ribosomal RNA
Rfam family: 5.8S ribosomal RNA (bases 1-120)
Source: RNAcentral
GAUGAAGAACGUAGUGAAAUGCGAUAAGUAAUGUGAAUUGCAGAAUCUCGUGAAUCAUCGAAUCUUUGAACGCACAUUGCGCCCUAUGGUAUUCCAUAGGGCAUGCCUGUCUGAGCGUCAGCUCCCGCCCACUCAAACCUUUGUAAGAGGUUUGGACAUUGUUGAAAAGGUAAUUUAAAACAUUACCUUUCAAAAAUACAGAGGCAGUAUUGGUUGCACCUGAAUUAAACGUGAUAGUUCUAUUAUAUAUCGUUUCUUUUAGGGAGUAUACCACUUGCCUUAUAACCCACUAAAUCCAUGGGUGACCUCAGAUCAGGUAGGGAUACCCGCUGAACUUAAGCAUAUCAAUAAGCGGAGGA